GAGCUGGUCGGGGGACCCGAUAAGGUUUAAAAAGGCCGCAUUCCGUUCAUGCUUCGGCGGAGCGUGUUUGUACUGCACAGACCCUAUUGACUAUAACCGUGAGGUGCAGUGCAUCCUUGAGCAUGGAGGGAACCAUGGCUGCCACAAAGGCCUGUUGCUCUCCAUCAGGAGGGGCGUGGAGGCUGCCAUCAGUGAGGCGGGAGUGCGGCGGAAUGAAGGGGCUCGUGGCUUGCAGCAACCGCCCAUUGGCGCCGAUGACAAUUAUGUUGCGGUGCCUUACCAUCUAGUGAAGUGUCCAGCUAUUAAAAAAGCUCUUCACCUAGCGAAUGGGAAGCUCGCCAUAAGACGGGGCCCUUCUGCCUUUGCGUGCCUUCGAGGCGGUGGGGAUGGGCUGGAGGAUGGAUAUAAAUCUGGAGUGUGCAGUGUCCCAAUGGGUGACGGGGCCAAUAGCUUGGAAGGGAGGUGCAUGGGGGUUGCAGGGCGAACGCUGGAGGAACGACUAAAUGAGCAUGGGGCGGACAUGCGUAAGGGAGGGGCAUCCACGGCGCUGGCGGGGGGGUGUUGCGCCUCAAACGUGGAGGUCCGCUGGGACCGAGCAGGAAUGAUUGGGAAGACGGAGGGCAUAAAGCAAGG
Molecule: long non-coding RNA, 633 nt
Filed under: Androctonus crassicauda
Lineage: Eukaryota; Metazoa; Arthropoda; Arachnida; Scorpiones; Buthidae
Source: RNAcentral